UACGGGAGGCAGCAGUGGGGAAUAUUGCACAAUGGGCGAAAGCCUGAUGCAGCUAUGCCGCGUGUAUGAAGAAGGCCUUAGGGUUGUAAAGUACUUUCAUCGGGGAGGAAAAAACAAAACUAAUAAUUUUAUUUCUUGACGUUACCCGAAAAAGAAGCACCGGCUAACUCCGUGCCAGCAGCCGCGGUAAUACGGAGGGUGCUAGCGUUAAUCAGAAUUACUGGGCGUAAAGAGCACGUAGGUGGUUUUUUUAAGUCAGAUGUGAAAUCCCUGGGCUUAACCUAGGAACUGCAUUUUGAAACUGAAAUACUAGAGUAUCGUAGAGGGAGGUAGAAUUCUAGGUGUAGCGGUGAAAUGCGUAGAUAUCUGGAGGAAUACCUGUGGCGAAAGCGGCCUCCUAAACGAAUACUGACACUGAGGUGCGAAAGCUGGGGAGCAAACAGGGAUUAGAUACC
RNAcentral lists this ribosomal RNA (455 nucleotides) under uncultured bacterium. RNAcentral's name for it is "bacterial SSU rRNA". It matches the Rfam family "Bacterial small subunit ribosomal RNA", at positions 340 to 786 of the family's 1533-position model. The record is from RNAcentral.